UACAGAGGGGGCGAGCGUUGUUCGGAAUUACUGGGCGUAAAGCGCACGUAGGCGGACCAGCAAGUUAGGGGUGAAAUCCCGGGGCUCAACCCCGGAACUGCCUUUAAAACUGUUGGUCUGGAGGUCGAGAGAGGUGAGUGGAAUUCCGAGUGUAGAGGUGAAAUUCGUAGAUAUUCGGAGGAACACCAGUGGCGAAGGCGGCUCACUGGCUCGAUACUGACGCUGAGGUGCGAAAGCGUGGGGAGCAAACAGG
Molecule: ribosomal RNA, 253 nt
Filed under: uncultured bacterium
Lineage: Bacteria
Description: partial 16S ribosomal RNA
Rfam family: Bacterial small subunit ribosomal RNA
Source: RNAcentral